This is a non-coding RNA of Fistulina hepatica ATCC 64428, 93 nucleotides long. Lineage: Eukaryota; Fungi; Basidiomycota; Agaricomycetes; Agaricales; Fistulinaceae. The record is from the annotation of a GenBank genome assembly.
UCGGAUAUGGUGUAACGGCUAACAUUUGCGCCUCUCAUUGCGAACAGCCAGUAUGGGCCGCGCAAGCUCGGGGUUCGACUCCCCGUAUCCGAA